AGCUUAGCCGCUUGCUACUAGUCGGGGUGGUUGAGGUGCCACAAGGAGAUAGGAUUGUAGUACUUUAGUCCCAUAAAUAUAAGAAGAAUGCUAUUUGCCACCCCAUUUGGAGGUAAAGCUUCCAUUUCUGAAGAGGGGAAAAGGGCAAUGAACAUUGAAGAUAGAAAGCUGAAACUCGACAACUGCCUCAGCCCCCUGUGACGCACAGAACGUUUCUGGUUGAGAGAGGGAGGAGUUCCCUCUUGUAUUGCCAGGCUGACCAGUGAGGUCUCUUAGUAUUGAGGAGUUGCUUUUCCCAUUAAACGGAAUUUCAGAGAGCGAACCUGGUGAGUAACCAAUGG
This 341-nucleotide long non-coding RNA is filed under the name Salmo trutta (river trout). Its description in RNAcentral is "lncRNA (ENSSTUG00000013356.1)". The record is from RNAcentral. Lineage: Eukaryota; Metazoa; Chordata; Actinopteri; Salmoniformes; Salmonidae.